This is a non-coding RNA of Echinostoma caproni, 45 nucleotides long. NCBI's taxonomy places the organism in Eukaryota, Metazoa, Platyhelminthes, Trematoda, Plagiorchiida, Echinostomatidae. The record is from Rfam.
GCACUGCUGAUGAGACCCAACUAGGUUGAAACAGCUGUCCAGUGC